AUACGUAGGGAGCGAGCGUUGUCCGGAAUUACUGGGCGUAAAGGGCGCGUAGGCGGCGCUUCAAGUCGUCUGUCAAAUGGAAGGGCUUAACCCUUUUUCGCAGACGAAACUGGAGAGCUUGAGAAGCAGAGAGGCAAACAGAAUUCCUGGUGUAGCGGUGAAAUGCAUAGAUAUUACACAGAACGCCGAUUGUGAAGACACCUCACGAAGCGGUAACUGACGCUGAGGCACGAAAGCGUGGGGAUCGAACAGGAUUAGAUACCCUGGUAGUCCACGCAGUAAACGAUGAUGACUAACCGUCGGCGAUAGACCGCCGGUGGCCAAGCGAAAGCGAUAAGUCAUCCACCUGGGGAGUACGACCGCAAGGUUGAAACUCAAAGGAAUUGGCGGGG
This 392-nucleotide ribosomal RNA is filed under the name uncultured bacterium. RNAcentral's name for it is "partial 16S ribosomal RNA". It matches the Rfam family "Bacterial small subunit ribosomal RNA", at positions 523 to 918 of the family's 1533-position model. The record is from RNAcentral.